Molecule: non-coding RNA, 77 nt
Organism: Parelaphostrongylus tenuis
Lineage: Eukaryota; Metazoa; Nematoda; Chromadorea; Rhabditida; Metastrongylidae
Source: the annotation of a GenBank genome assembly
GCCUCGGGUGGUGUAGUGGUAGUAGCAGCACGCUUCCCCGGACAGGAUGAAACGUGGGUUCGAUUCCCCUGGAGGCC